RNAcentral lists this transfer RNA (76 nucleotides) under Bradyrhizobium archetypum. Its description in RNAcentral is "Bradyrhizobium sp. WSM 1744 tRNA-Arg". It matches the Rfam family "tRNA". Rfam says of the family: Transfer RNA (tRNA) molecules are approximately 80 nucleotides in length. Their secondary structure includes four short double-helical elements and three loops (D, anti-codon, and T loops). Further hydrogen bonds mediate the characteristic L-shaped molecular structure. tRNAs have two regions of fundamental functional importance: the anti-codon, which is responsible for specific mRNA codon recognition, and the 3' end, to which the tRNAs corresponding amino acid is attached (by aminoacyl-tRNA synthetases). tRNAs cope with the degeneracy of the genetic code in two manners: having more than one tRNA (with a specific anti-codon) for a particular amino acid; and 'wobble' base-pairing, i.e. permitting non-standard base-pairing at the 3rd anti-codon position. The record is from RNAcentral. Lineage: Bacteria; Pseudomonadati; Pseudomonadota; Alphaproteobacteria; Hyphomicrobiales; Nitrobacteraceae.
GGUUCCGUAGCUCAAUGGAUAGAGCAUCGCGUUGCGGGUGCGAAGGUUCGAGGUUCGAGUCGUCGCGGGACUACCA